RNAcentral lists this unclassified non-coding RNA (373 nucleotides) under soil metagenome. RNAcentral describes it as "partial contains internal transcribed spacer 2 and large subunit ribosomal RNA". The stretch from base 1 to 120 matches the Rfam family "5.8S ribosomal RNA", at positions 35 to 154 of the family's 154-position model. The record is from RNAcentral.
GAUGAAGAACGUAGCGAAAUGCGAUAAUUAAUGUGAAUUGCAGAAUUCCGUGAAUCAUCGAGUCUUUGAACGCACAUUGCGCCUCAUGGCAUUCCGUGAGGCAUGCCCAUCUCAGCGUUAGAAAAUAUUCUCAAAUUUUAGUUUUGUGCUAAAAUUUGGAUCAUGUCAAGGAAGCUAUUACUAUUAUUGUGAUCGCUCUUUGGAAAUUGAUAGGUCUUUGAGUUGCUACUCAUAGAACGUGAUGAAUCUUUCUUCGUUCUAUUGUAAUUCACUCUGGUAGUCCUAAAACUUGUAUGCCUGUGGCAUAUCUUGUAAUUUGACCUGAGAUUGGGUAGGGAUACCCGCUGAACUUAAGCAUAUCAAUAAGCGGAGA